RNAcentral lists this ribosomal RNA (482 nucleotides) under uncultured bacterium. RNAcentral's name for it is "partial 16S ribosomal RNA". It matches the Rfam family "Bacterial small subunit ribosomal RNA", at positions 29 to 507 of the family's 1533-position model. The record is from RNAcentral.
ACGAACGCUGGCGGCGUGCUUCACACAUGCAAGUCGAACGCUGAAGCUCAGCUUUUGUUGGGUGGAUGAGUGGCGAACGGGUGAGUAACACGUGAGUAACCUGCCCCCUUCUUUGGGAUAACGCCCGGAAACGGGUGCUAAUACUGGAUAUUCACUGGUCUUCGCAUGGGGGUUGGUGGAAAGGGUUUUUCUGGUGGGGGAUGGGCUCGCGGCCUAUCAGCUUGUUGGUGGGGUGAUGGCCUACCAAGGCUUUGACGGGUAGCCGGCCUGAGAGGGUGACCGGUCACAUUGGGACGGAGAUACGGCCCAGACUCCUACGGGAGGCAGCAGUGGGGAAUAUUGCACAAUGGGCGCAAGCCUGAUGCAGCGACGCCGCGUGAGGGAUGGAGGCCUUCGGGUUGUGAACCUCUUUCGCUCAUGGUCAAGCCGCAACAAUGGUUGUGGUGAGGGUAGUGGGUAAAGAAGCGCCGGCUAACUACGUG